Molecule: ribosomal RNA, 590 nt
Filed under: Brettanomyces bruxellensis
Lineage: Eukaryota; Fungi; Ascomycota; Pichiomycetes; Pichiales; Pichiaceae
Description: eukaryotic LSU rRNA
Rfam family: Eukaryotic large subunit ribosomal RNA
Source: RNAcentral
GAAAAGAAACCAACAGGGAUUGCCCCAGUAAUGGCGAAUGAAGCGGCAAGAGCCCAAAUUUGAAAUCGGGCAACCGAGUUGUAAUUUGGAGACGGGACACUAGAGAGGAGGAAGGCGAUUAAGUGCCUUGGAACAGGCUGCCGUAGAGGGUGAGAGCCCCGUGAAUCGCUGGAGACCGAUCAAUUAGUGCCCGCCGAAGAGUCGAGUUGUUUGGGAAUGCAGCUCUAAGUGGGUGGUAUAUUCCAUCUAAGGCUAAAUAUUAGCGAGAGACCGAUAGCAAACAAGUACAGUGAUGGAAAGAUGAAAAGAACUUUGGAAAGAGAGUGAAAUAGUACGUGAAAUUGUUGAAAGGGAAGGGUAUUUGAUCCGACAUGGUGUUUAGCAGCGGCCCGUUCCUCGUGGAUGGGUGCACCUGGUUUACACUGGGCCAGCAUCGGUUCUGGGAGCCAUAUACGGGGUUCGUGAAUGUGGCCCUUCGAUUCUGUCGGAGGGUGUUAUAGCGCGGACAUCUUGUGGCUAGCCGGGACCGGGGACUGCGGUGACUUGUCACCAAGGAUGCUGGCAGAACGAGCAAAUACCACCCGUCUUGA